RNA transcript from Papaver somniferum (opium poppy), 2232 nucleotides. RefSeq lists it as uncharacterized. The transcript is spliced from 2 exons. The record is from RefSeq and is a predicted model, not a curated record. Lineage: Eukaryota; Viridiplantae; Streptophyta; Magnoliopsida; Ranunculales; Papaveraceae.
GUUUUCUUCUUCUUUUAGUCUCGUCUUCUUCUUCUCCCGGAACAACACCAGCAAGCAUUUCACUUGUAUACCUGUGUGUCGCUCUGGCUAAUCUCAAGUUUAAUUCUGGCUUCUAAUACUAAGAUGGCAGGAAGGCGAAUUGGUAGAAGGCGAAGAUUAAACAUGAUAGCUGUGGCAAAACCUAUCAAGUUUAGUCUCAUGAGCAAGAUCAACAGAUUCAACAGACGGAGGAAACCUCAUGGCCUGAAAAAGAACCAUGGCGAGGAGAGCAAGAAGAAAAGUAGAGGUAUCACUAAUGUUAAAGUAGACGAUGAUAUAGUUUAUGAGAUACUUGGCAGAUUACCGGUUAAAUCACUUAUGCAGUUAAAAUGCGUGUCUAAACAUUGGUGUUCCAUGAUUCAAAAUGAUCGGUAUUUAAUCGAUUUACACCAUAGUCGAUCAAAAUUAAGACCGUGUCUCCUUAUUACAGUUCCAAGAGCAAGCGAGGAUUACAAGGAUUACAAAGAGGAAAAGCAUGAUAACGUGUUUGAUCCCAUUGGUAAUUUUUUGGUAAUUGCUGAUCUAAUGUUUGAAGGCGGGGAAGUGUCAGCGGCAGUAGUUCGUACUAUAAUGGAGAUGGAUACGCCAUCAUCUAGAUUUUCAGAACCUUUAAAUGGUUUGAUAUGCUUAUUUGACCCUGAAAAGAAUCAUAGUGUUCAAUUGUGCAAUCUUAGUACCCGUCAAUUUACACCAUGGAUUAAAUCAUCAUUCAUAUCCAACUUAAAUGUUAAAGAUAAAGACAAGUAUCGGUUACGCACUGGGAUGUGUAAUUUGGGAUUCGACCCUGCCACUAAGGAGCACAAAGUGGUUUGUAUUUGGACUAUACAUCACCAUCAAGUUUGCGAAGUGUUGACGGUUGGAGAUGGGAAAUGGAGAAUUACUGAUGUCCUGCCAGUAAACAAUUUCACAGAAUUGUAUGGUUCUGGAGCUUCUAUUUAUGUGAAUGGUUCCAUAUAUUACAGCCCAUGGAAGCUAAAGUGUUCUCUCGUUAAGGAUACUAAGCCUAAAUUCAUUGUGGCAUUUGAUGUUGGGAAGGAGAAAUUUAGAGCCAUCCGAAUUCCUGAUUUCAUUCUUGACCAGAUUCCGCGAUUUCAACCCUUCGAAAUUGAUGGUCAUCCAGCUCUGUUAAGCAUCAUAAGAAGUAACAAUGCCAAGAUAUGGUUAUUUGACGAUGAUUACAACAAUGGUUGUAGAAGUAAUACUUGGAAUGAAGUUACUAUUGAAUUGCCCUUCCAUUGGGGACAUGGAGACCAUGGGAGGAACAGUCAGUAUUCUGUUCAUUUUCGUUCGGUCAUAGGUACAGACUUUAUAAUCCUAUACUUGUAUCGCUGUAACAUGGUUGCGGAUGGUUAUCAUUAUGCAACUGCAGUCUCUCAAUAUUCUUACAAUUGGAAGAAAAAGAUUUUUACGGAGAAUAAAAUCAAUGGGCUCCCAUCCUCAGUUCCGUAUCUUCAAUUUGUAUCCUGUUUAUCAACUUUCGCGGAGAGUCUUUUACCUGUUCUAUAGCUACCAAACAACACGCAAGACCUUGGCAAGUAUGUAAUGCUGGAUUUGUUAAUCAACAAUUAUGGUGCUCGCUUUUGACAUGCAGUGAAAUCUAAGGAUCCUGUCUGAUACUGCUCGUUGCUUUAGUCCGGUUGUUAUAAUCACAUGUUGGUGCAGUUUAUCCUCUGAUGAAGUCCUUGGCGGUUGGAGGACUUGGGACAUCAGGUACCUAAAUAGCCUUUAGUUUAUAUACUGAUAAGGCGUUCAAGAAACAAGUGCUUUUGCAUAGCCAUAUCUGUGGCUUAUUACUUGUUAUGUGCUUAUGGAUCCAACAAGUGCUUCAACCUUUCGGUUGUGUUCGCUUCAUGAUUACUAUUGAGAGUGGAUACUUUUUUCCUCCCCUAGCUCCUAAGAAGCACAAAGUGGUUUGGGUAAGUGGAGGCAUAUCAAAGAGCUCCUCCCGUGCAAAUUUGCUUAAACUUAUUACUUAAACUUAAACUGAAGUGUUGAGAGUUGGGUCGCACGGAAAAUGGUAGGGUGUCCAAUGCGAUACUGAUAUGAUUCCAAUAGUCUGACACGACAUUCUGAAUCUUAUAAAUACAUACUUUCACCUUAAAAAUAUGGUGUCGGUGUUGGAUCAUUAUCUCGGUGAUUAUGUGAAUGGUUCUAUAUAUUAUCUAACAAUGUUUUAUAAUAAAUAUUCGUUGU